AAGUCGUAACAAGGUUUCCGUAGGUGAACCUGCGGAAGGAUCAUUAACACGUAUCCAACGUUAAAACCCCCCCGUGAACCUAGAAAGUAGCAAUCCCUGGUAAAUCAUCGCCGAACAGUUUUGAUUCAGGGACUUCUGCGAAGAGUGUGCUUGUAGCGCGAGGCAAGUGGCCUGGCAUCCUUGUCUGAAAGUGUCAAGGGUGGCGCAGUCACGAUCGCUAGAGGCCGACACGGCCGGCGACCGGGUCACCGGGCUCACGCCCCUUAAUAACCUUUGCAUGAAAACGGGCCUGCGCUUAAUUGUGCGGCCAUAAACCGAACAACUGUUAACAAUGGAUAUCUUGGUUCUC
RNAcentral lists this unclassified non-coding RNA (349 nucleotides) under fungal sp. RNAcentral describes it as "partial internal transcribed spacer region". The stretch from base 1 to 46 matches the Rfam family "Eukaryotic small subunit ribosomal RNA", at positions 1786 to 1831 of the family's 1831-position model. The record is from RNAcentral. Lineage: Eukaryota; Fungi.